This 464-nucleotide ribosomal RNA is filed under the name uncultured bacterium. RNAcentral describes it as "partial 16S ribosomal RNA". It matches the Rfam family "Bacterial small subunit ribosomal RNA", at positions 339 to 795 of the family's 1533-position model. The record is from RNAcentral.
CUACGAGUGGCUGCAGUGGGGAAUAUUGCACAAUGGGCGCAAGCCUGAUGCAGCCAUGCCGCGUGUAUGAAGAAGGCCUUCGGGUUGUAAAGUACUUUCAGCGGGGAGGAAGGGAGUAAAGUUAAUACCUUUGCUCAUUGACGUUACCCGCAGAAAAAGCACCGGCUAACUCCGUGCCAGCAGCCGCGGUAAUACGGAGGGUGCAAGCGUUAAUCGGAAUUACUGGGCGUAAAGCGCACGCAGGCGGUUUGUUACGUCAGAUGUGAAAUCCCCGGGCUCAACCUGGGAACUGCAUCUGAUACUGGCAAGCUUGAGUCUCGUAGAGGGGGGUAGAAUUCCAGGUGUAGCGGUGAAAUGCGGAGAGAUCUGGAGGAAUACCGGUGGCGAAGGCGGCCCCCUGGACGAAGACUGACGCUCAGGUGCGAAAGCGUGGGGAGCAAACAGGAUUAGAUACCCCUGUAGUC